UCAGGAGUGGUUAAAAUAAAGGAAUGUAAAAGUCAAGUCUCUCUCUCUCUUUCAUUCUCUCUCUCUCUCUCU
Non-coding RNA from Pangasianodon gigas (Mekong giant catfish), 72 nucleotides. Lineage: Eukaryota; Metazoa; Chordata; Actinopteri; Siluriformes; Pangasiidae. The record is from the annotation of a GenBank genome assembly.